GGGGACAUAGUAUAAAGGUAGUAUGCUGUGUUUGCAUCACAGUGGUAUGAGUUCAAUUCUCAUUGUCUCCA
Molecule: transfer RNA, 71 nt
Filed under: Apiotrichum gamsii
Lineage: Eukaryota; Fungi; Basidiomycota; Tremellomycetes; Trichosporonales; Trichosporonaceae
Description: tRNA-Ala
Rfam family: tRNA
About the family: Transfer RNA (tRNA) molecules are approximately 80 nucleotides in length. Their secondary structure includes four short double-helical elements and three loops (D, anti-codon, and T loops).
Source: RNAcentral